This 721-nucleotide long non-coding RNA is filed under the name Gallus gallus (chicken). The record is from RNAcentral. Lineage: Eukaryota; Metazoa; Chordata; Aves; Galliformes; Phasianidae.
UGCUGAGUCCUCAUAUCGAAAACAUGAAAUUUUCCCUCCAGUGACGUGGCCACUAGCUUGUUCAUAUUCACAUCUUUUCUGUCAAACUCCACGCUGCAAACCCCAUUCUUAAUGUUGGUCUCCCAUCGCAGUGACAUGGUUCUUAAGUCAAACAAUUUGAUGUCCCCAUUGUCAUAUCCAGCACAAACAACACGUUCCUCUUGAUUGUAAGCGUUGCCAAAAGCCACAGUCCAGCAGUCCCUUUUGCUCUCUCCCUGCGCGGGUUCCAUGUUAGCCACAGGAGUCUCCUUCUGCCGCGGGUCCCACACCUUCACAGUUCCAUCUCGACUGCCCGUCACAAUUUCGGGUGCGCCUUCCCCAAUCCCCAGGCCUCCCACGCCAUCGAUGCUGUUAAUGAUUUCCUUAUGCCCUUUCACGGAAUACACGGGUAUUUCGGGAGCUUCUAAAUCCCAGAUGCUGAGGCUGCCCGCGAAGUCCCCCGUUGCCAGGUGCCUCUGCUGCAGGGAGGCGGCCCCGAAGGUCGCGCAUUUUAUAGGCUUGGCCUUCUCGAUCUCGCUGAGCAGCAGCAGCCGCCCGCCGCGCAGCUCGUACAGCUGCAGCACGCCGGUGCCGCGCGGGGCGCUGCCGAGGCACAGCAGGCGGGCGCUGCGCGGCACCCACUUACAGUCGAAGACGGUGUAGUUCAGCGACUGCUGCGCGUGCACCACCACCUGCGGCCGCU